CCGAAAAGCCUCUAAGCUUCAGUCAUAGAGUGACCGUACCGCAAACCGACACAGGUGGGCUGGUAGAGAAUACCAAGGCGCUUGAGAGAACUCAGGAGAAGGAACUCGGCAAAUUGAUACCGUAACUUCGGGAGAAGGUAUGCCCCGUUAGCUUGUAGGAGAACAUCCGAAGGGCGAAGGGGCCGCAGAGAAUCGGUGGCUGCGACUGUUUAUUAAAAACACAGCACUGUGCAAACACGAAAGUGGACGUAUACGGUGUGACGCCUGCCCGGUGCCGGAAGGUUAAGUGAUGGGGUGCAAGCUCUUGAUCGAAGCCCCGGUAAACGGCGGCCGUAACAAUAACGGUCCUAAGGUAGCGAAAUUCCUUGUCGGGUAAGUUCCGACCUGCACGAAUGGCGUAACGAUGGCCACACUGUCUCCUCCUGAGACUCAGCGAAGUUGAAAUGUUUGUGAAGAUGCAAUCUACCCGCGGCUAGACGGAAAGACCCCAUGAACCUUUACUGUAGCUUUGCAUUGGACUUUGACGGGAUUUGUGUAGGAUAGGUGGGAGGCUAUGAAACCGGGACGCUAGUUUCGGUGGAGCCAACCUUGAAAUACCACCCUGGUGUCGUCGAGGUUCUAACCCAGGUCUGUGAAUCCAGAUCGGGGACCGUGCAUGGUGGGCAGUUUGACUGGGGCGGUCUCCUCCUAAAGCGUAACGGAGGAGUACGAAGGUCACCUAGGUACGGUCGGACAUCGUACUGAUAGUGCAAUGGCAAAAGGUGGCUUGACUGCGAGACCCACAAGUCGAGCAGGUGCGAAAGCAGGUCAUAGUGAUCCGGUGGUUCUGUAUGGAAGGGCCAUCGCUCAACGGAUAAAAGGUACUCUGGGGAUAACAGGCUGAUUCCGCCCAAGAGUUCACAUCGACGGCGGAGUUUGGCACCUCGAUGUCGGCUCAUCACAUCCUGGGGCUGUAGCCGGUCCCAAGGGUAUGGCUGUUCGCCAUUUAAAGUGGUACGUGAGCUGGGUUUAAAACGUCGUGAGACAGUUUGGUCCCUAUCUGCCGUGGGCGCUGGAAGUUUGAGAGGGCUUGCUCCUAGUACGAGAGGACCGGAGUGAACGCACCCCUGGUGUACCGGUUGUGACGCCAGUCGCAUCGCCGGGUAGCUAUGUGCGGAAGAGAUAACCGCUGAAAGCAUCUAAGCGGGAAACUCGCCUCAAGAUGAGACUUCCCCGGGGCCUUGAGCCCCCUGAAGGGUCGUUGAAGACCACAACGUUGAUAGGUCGGGUGUGGAAGCGUGGCAACACGUUAAGCUAACCGAUACUAAUUGCCCGUGUGGCUUGAAC
This 1326-nucleotide ribosomal RNA is filed under the name metagenome. RNAcentral's name for it is "bacterial LSU rRNA". It matches the Rfam family "Bacterial large subunit ribosomal RNA", at positions 1610 to 2925 of the family's 2925-position model. The record is from RNAcentral.